UACGUAGGGGGCAAGCGUUGUCCGGAAUCAUUGGGCGUAAAGGGCGCGUAGGCGGAUCAUUAAGUCUGGUGUGAAAUAUAGGGGCUCAACCCCUAGACUGCAUCGGAAACUGGUGAUCUUGAGGACAGGAGAGGAAAGUGGAAUUCCACGUGUAGCGGUGAAAUGCGUAGAGAUGUGGAGGAACACCAGUGGCGAAGGCGAACUUUCUGGACUGUAACUGACGCUGAGGCGGACGAAAGCGGA
This 243-nucleotide ribosomal RNA is filed under the name uncultured bacterium. RNAcentral describes it as "partial 16S ribosomal RNA". It matches the Rfam family "Bacterial small subunit ribosomal RNA", at positions 524 to 763 of the family's 1533-position model. The record is from RNAcentral.